RNAcentral lists this ribosomal RNA (427 nucleotides) under uncultured eukaryote. RNAcentral describes it as "bacterial SSU rRNA". It matches the Rfam family "Eukaryotic small subunit ribosomal RNA", at positions 592 to 1018 of the family's 1831-position model. The record is from RNAcentral.
CAAUAGCGUAUAUUAAAGUUGUUGCAGUUUAAAAGCUCGUAGUUGGAUUUCUGGGUCAAGCUCCUGGUCCGCCGCUAUGCGGUGCUGACUGUGUGCAGCGUUGGCUCAUCCUUGUGGGAAACUCAGUUGGGCGUUCGUUCGUCGGCUGUCGGAACCGCAUCUUUUACUGUGAAAAAUUAGAGUGUUCAAAGCAGGCUUACGCUGUGAAUACAUUAGCAUGGAAUAAUAAGAUAAGACUUGGGUCAUUAUUUUGUUGGUUUGCGGAUCGAGGUAAUGAUUAAUAGGGAUAGUUGGGGGUAUUCAUAUUUAAUUGUCAGAGGUGAAAUUCUUGGAUUUAUGAAAGAUGAACUUAGGCGAAAGCAUUUACCAAGGAUGUUUUCAUUAAUCAAGAACGAAAGUUAGGGGAUCGAAGAUGAUCAGAUACCGU